This 535-nucleotide ribosomal RNA is filed under the name Clavispora lusitaniae. RNAcentral describes it as "LSU rRNA". It matches the Rfam family "Eukaryotic large subunit ribosomal RNA", at positions 52 to 656 of the family's 3401-position model. The record is from RNAcentral. Lineage: Eukaryota; Fungi; Ascomycota; Pichiomycetes; Serinales; Metschnikowiaceae.
GGAGGAAAAGAAACCAACAGGGAUUGCCCCAGUAACGGCGAGUGAAGCGGCAAAAGCUCAAAUUUGAAAUCCUGCGGGAAUUGUAAUUUGAAGGUUUCGUGGUCUGAGUCGGCCGCGCCCAAGUCCAUUGGAACAUGGCGCCUGGGAGGGUGAGAGCCCCGUAUGGCGCACGCCGACUCUUUGCACCGCGGCUCCGACGAGUCGAGUUGUUUGGGAAUGCAGCUCUAAGUGGGUGGUAAAUUCCAUCUAAAGCUAAAUAUUGGCGAGAGACCGAUAGCGAACAAGUACAGUGAUGGAAAGAUGAAAAGCACUUUGAAAAGAGAGUGAAACAGCACGUGAAAUUGUUGAAAGGGAAGGGCUUGCAAGCAGACACGGUUUUACCGGGCCAGCGUCGAAAAGGGGGGAGGAACAAGAACUCGAGAAUGUGGCGCGCACCUUCGGGCGCGCGUGUUAUAGCUCGUGUUGACGCCUCCAUCCCUUUUCGAGGCCUGCGAUUCUAGGACGCUGGCGUAAUGGUUGCAAGCCGCCCGUCUUG